RNAcentral lists this ribosomal RNA (292 nucleotides) under uncultured bacterium. RNAcentral describes it as "partial 16S ribosomal RNA". It matches the Rfam family "Bacterial small subunit ribosomal RNA", at positions 505 to 796 of the family's 1533-position model. The record is from RNAcentral.
GUGCCAGCAGCCGCGGUAAUACAGAGGGUGCAAGCGUUAAUCGGAUUUACUGGGCGUAAAGGGCGCGUAGGCGGUUGAGUGAGUGUGAUGUGAAAGCCCCGGGCUUAACCUGGGAAGAGCAUCGCAAACGACUUAACUGGAGUAGGUGAGAGGGUGGCGGAAUUUCCGGUGUAGCGGUGAAAUGCGUAGAGAUCGGAAGGAACGUCAAUGGCGAAGGCAGCCACCUGGCACCAUACUGACGCUGAGGCGCGAGAGCGUGGGGAGCGAACAGGAUUAGAUACCCGCGUAGUCC